UGGGCCAUCGCCAAGCGGCUAAGGCACAGGACUUUGACUCCUGCAUUCGUUGGUUCAAAUCCAACUGGCCCAG
This 73-nucleotide transfer RNA is filed under the name Lachnospiraceae bacterium. RNAcentral describes it as "tRNA-Gln". It matches the Rfam family "tRNA". Rfam says of the family: Transfer RNA (tRNA) molecules are approximately 80 nucleotides in length. Their secondary structure includes four short double-helical elements and three loops (D, anti-codon, and T loops). Lineage: Bacteria; Bacillati; Bacillota; Clostridia; Lachnospirales; Lachnospiraceae. The record is from RNAcentral.